GCGCCAGUAGCUCAAUUGGAUAGAGCGUUUGGCUACGGACCAAAAGGCUGGGGGUUCGAGUCCCUCUGGGCGCACCA
This 77-nucleotide transfer RNA is filed under the name Gemmatimonadetes bacterium RBG_16_66_8. RNAcentral describes it as "tRNA-Arg". It matches the Rfam family "tRNA". Rfam says of the family: Transfer RNA (tRNA) molecules are approximately 80 nucleotides in length. Their secondary structure includes four short double-helical elements and three loops (D, anti-codon, and T loops). Further hydrogen bonds mediate the characteristic L-shaped molecular structure. tRNAs have two regions of fundamental functional importance: the anti-codon, which is responsible for specific mRNA codon recognition, and the 3' end, to which the tRNAs corresponding amino acid is attached (by aminoacyl-tRNA synthetases). tRNAs cope with the degeneracy of the genetic code in two manners: having more than one tRNA (with a specific anti-codon) for a particular amino acid; and 'wobble' base-pairing, i.e. permitting non-standard base-pairing at the 3rd anti-codon position. Lineage: Bacteria; Pseudomonadati; Gemmatimonadota. The record is from RNAcentral.